ACAACUUUCAAAAGGAGGAAGAUGUUUUACCCUGAGGUUCAAGGAAAAGAGGAAUAGCUGGGAGCAGCACAGGUAGCUUCUAAGGUUGCAGAGCAGGAAAGGUGAAAUAUAUGUUACUUGGUAACUCUUAAUAUCAUGUACUCAGAGUGAAGGAGUGAAAUUCAGGAGGAAAGGAAAAGUAUGCCUAAUCCCUGAGUUGAAUGAGAGUGGGAAAGCUGAUAAAAGAUAAACUCUUCAUGGUAAAAUUAAUCUGGUAUAAGUAGCUUUUCUCUUGGUGUACUGUUCUUUGCAAGGUUUUAUUUGCAGGUAUGAAAUGCCUGGUUCGUGGAUGGUUGCUAAGAGAUAUGCUUACUCUGAAAUAUCUUUUUCACCUUCCUUUACUUUUCACCAUUACACUCUUUAGUUCAUUAGAAAACUAUGGGGGAAAGGAUUAGUCUCCUCAAACAUCCGUUAGAUAUGUAUACCUGGCAACGGUCCCUCUAAAAACGUAGUACAUCAUUUUAGCUCCAUUAUUGAAACACAAAGUCAUAAGAUGAUGUAAUAUACAACAGAUGAUUUCCAGUGGGGUAAAAUUGUAACAACCACCAUUGUGGGCGGGUGAGAACAAACACAGUGUAUAGGUUAGGAAGGGCAGAUCUUUAUACUAAGAAUGGAAGAUAUCCAAAAGGAAGGGGACGAUACGAAGAUGAACUUCAUCUCACAGUUUUGCUUUAAUAGCCCAGAAUAUGGAUAAUUAUGGUUACUUACCUCUAGCAGUGUAGUAUUGAUAGGAAGGCCUAGACAAUAUAGUCUGGAUUGAUUGGAUAAACACAGAGGAACAAGAGAGCGGCAGAAUUGUACCAUGCAUGCAGCAGGCCAUGCUCUACACGGGCCUCUCAGGAUGCAGCAGAGAGACACUGAAACUGGACAUUGUAGAAGAUGAAUUAUGAGAGUGAUUUAUGAAAGAAAGACAGUGGAGAAUUGCAAUCGAUGGAGACAUUCAAAGAAAAGACUUUGGCACUACAUCAAAAGAGAGUAGAAUAAGUAGUCUUUGCUUAUACAUUUUAAAUGAAAAUAAAUGUUUAUCAUACAUAUUUGCUGUUUUUUAAACUGUAAUUCAAUUACUAAGGCUGAAGGGAAGAAUGGAUGUUGGAUAAAGAACUUUCGAUUCUGUCAUUGUUAGUAUUAUUUGUGUGCGUAUGUGUGUGUGUGUGUGUGUGUGAAUGUUGAGCUUCUCAGCUUCAAUAGUUAGCAGGAAAAAGCACUGAAUCGUGAAGCAUAAACUACAAAUAUAGCAUCUGUAUGAUAUUCUCUUUAAAAAAUGGUAAAAUUCUAGGAAACAGUCUUUGGUGCUUGCUUUUUUAGAAUGAUUGGCAUGGGAUCUGAGUCUUAGUUUCAGCUUUUAUGACUGCUUUUUACUGCAUCAAAUAUUUGACCAGGCAAAGUACAUUUCAAUGAACAGCUUUACUCCCCUUUAAAAGAAUCUGAAAGUCCAGCUAAAACUCCUCAUCAAGUUAGCUGGGAUCAUGGUGUUCAUUUUGGAUGAGGCAAUGUACUAAUUCAUUCAGUCAGCUCGAUUUGACAUUUCUGGGUUAGGGUAUCUUCCUUAAAAGUUACACAAUAAGUUGGAAUUAAAGUGCUCUGCUUGCUUUUGAUAAGACUGAUCAAAAGAGUGAUAGGAGUAAUCACUACUUAGAAUCCUAUUUAAUAAGUAUUUUCCAUUUAUCUAACUCUAAGGAGAAUUUAGGCUAUUUGUCUAGUGAAAUCCAUUUGAUACCAGGAUUUGUUAUGGCCAUUCUACAAUCAGGUGUUCCUAAUGUAAUGAAUGAGAUAAAAAAUAAUUAAGCUAACAUUUAUAUGAUGCUUACUACUUCCAGAAACUGUUAUUAUGCAUUAUUAACUGACUUAAUCCUCCUUACCACUUUAGGGGGUAGAUACUAUUAUUAUUCCUUUUUUUUUCAGAUGACGAAACUAAAGCACAAAGAGAUUAAAGAACUUAUCCAAGGUCAUGCAGCUGGAAAGAAGUGGAUUUGGGAUUGUGAACAUCACAAUUUCACAAACUACAUUUCAUGAUGGGUAGAGCUAGUCAAACGUCUGAAAAUAAAGUUUGGUUUAAAGAUGA
Long non-coding RNA from Homo sapiens (human), 2101 nucleotides. RefSeq annotates it as long independently transcribed non-coding RNA 2277. The transcript has 3 exons. The record is from RefSeq and is a predicted model, not a curated record. NCBI's taxonomy places the organism in Eukaryota, Metazoa, Chordata, Mammalia, Primates, Hominidae.